RNAcentral lists this ribosomal RNA (125 nucleotides) under Fusobacterium necrophorum subsp. funduliforme. Its description in RNAcentral is "partial 23S ribosomal RNA". It matches the Rfam family "Bacterial large subunit ribosomal RNA", at positions 1 to 123 of the family's 2925-position model. The record is from RNAcentral. Lineage: Bacteria; Fusobacteriati; Fusobacteriota; Fusobacteriia; Fusobacteriales; Fusobacteriaceae.
GAUUAAAGUAACAAAGGGCACACAAGGGAUGCCUAGGUAGAAAGAGCCGAAGAAGGACGUGGUAAGCUGCGAUAAGCUUGGCGAAGUUGCAAACGAACGUGGAUGCCCGGGCAGUCAGAAUUCGU